CCUACGGGCGGCUGCAGUGGGGAAUAUUGCACAAUGGGCGCAAGCCUGAUGCAGCCAUGCCGCGUGUGUGAAGAAGGCCUUCGGGUUGUAAAGCACUUUCAGCGGGGAGGAAGGCGUUAAGGUUAAUAACCUUGGCGAUUGACGUUACCCGCAGAAGAAGCACCGGCUAACUCCGUGCCAGCAGCCGCGGUAAUACGGAGGGUGCAAGCGUUAAUCGGAAUUACUGGGCGUAGAGCGCACGCAGGCGGUCUGUCAAGUCGGAUGUGAAAUCCCCGGGCUCAACCUGGGAACUGCAUUCGAAACUGGCAGGCUAGAGUCUUGUAGAGGGGGGUAGAAUUCCAGGUGUAGCGGUGAAAUGCGUAGAGAUCUGGAGGAAUACCGGUGGCGAAGGCGGCCCCCUGGACAAAGGCUGACGCUCAGGUGCGAAAGCGUGGGGAGCAAACAGGAUUAGAUACCCGUGUAGUC
RNAcentral lists this ribosomal RNA (465 nucleotides) under uncultured Klebsiella sp. Its description in RNAcentral is "bacterial SSU rRNA". It matches the Rfam family "Bacterial small subunit ribosomal RNA", at positions 338 to 795 of the family's 1533-position model. Lineage: Bacteria; Pseudomonadati; Pseudomonadota; Gammaproteobacteria; Enterobacterales; Enterobacteriaceae. The record is from RNAcentral.